CACUAUAAGUUCAUCAAAAACCACUACAAAAAUAUAGAAAAUCACUACAAAAGAUCCCAUUUAUAAAGAGAAAAUCCACUAAAAACUUGCCUAUAUCCACUACAAAAGUCCCCUUUAAUAAAAAUUGUCAUCGCAUACAAUAGUAGAGUCCCCGUGCAUCACCCAACCUCGUCCCACUUGUUGCCAUCACUCCUUGUCAAGAAUCUGAACCAAAUAAAAAGACAACGACAACGUGUAAAUUUAAUCAUUCAAAAUAAAAUCGGUCUACCAAGGAAAAAUUUUAAAUCUACUACAAUCUCAUCCAAACCCACUACAAAAAAUAUCGAAAUCCACCAAAAUAUUAACAUAAUCCACUAUGAAAUUAACCUAAUCCACUACAAACAAUUACAAAAAUAUUAACGUAGUCCACUAUGAAAUUAAACUAAUCCACUACGAAAAUAAACUAAUUCACUACGACAAAUCCCCUUUUCAAAGAGAAAAUUGAGUUUAAUUAUAUCAAAAUUCACUAAAUAGUAAUGUAGUCCACUACGGAAUUAACCUAAUCCACCACAACAAAUCACAUUUUCAAAGAGAAAAUCCAAUUCAAAAUAAGAAUUACAAUCUAAUUACAAUCAAAUUAUUAUUUUUAGUUGAAAACCUUGAUUAUCUAGAUUACCGUAUCGCUGGCAACAGUAGCACAAACCCC
RNAcentral lists this long non-coding RNA (685 nucleotides) under Erythranthe guttata (spotted monkey flower). Its description in RNAcentral is "long non-coding RNA (EGUT_LNC001303)". The record is from RNAcentral. Lineage: Eukaryota; Viridiplantae; Streptophyta; Magnoliopsida; Lamiales; Phrymaceae.